CCUACGGGUGGCAGCAGUGAGGAAUAUUGGUCAAUGGCCGAAAGGCUGAACCAGCCAAGUCGCGUGAAGGACGACUGCCCUAUGGGUUGUAAACCUCUUUUAUAAGGGAAUAAUAAAAGCUACGUGUAGCAUGUUGCCUGUACCUUAUGAAUAAGCAUCGGCUAACUCCGUGCCAGCAGCCGCGGUAAUACGGAGGAUGCGAGCGUUAUCCGGAUUUAUUGGGUUUAAAGGGAGGGUAGGUGGUUGUUUAAGUUAUUGGUUAAACGUGGGGGCUAAACCUUGAUUUGGCAUUAAGACUGUAAGACUUGAGUACAGAUGAGGGAAGCGGAAUUAGUGGUGUAGCGGUGAAAUGCUUAGAUAUAACGUAGAACCCCGAUAGCGAAGGCAGCUUACUAGACUGUGACUGACGCUGAAGCACGAGAGUGUGGGUAGCGAACAGGAUUAGAUACCCCUGUAGUC
This 459-nucleotide ribosomal RNA is filed under the name uncultured bacterium. Its description in RNAcentral is "partial 16S ribosomal RNA". It matches the Rfam family "Bacterial small subunit ribosomal RNA", at positions 338 to 795 of the family's 1533-position model. The record is from RNAcentral.